RNAcentral lists this long non-coding RNA (358 nucleotides) under Felis catus (domestic cat). RNAcentral's name for it is "lncRNA (ENSFCAG00000047664.1)". Lineage: Eukaryota; Metazoa; Chordata; Mammalia; Carnivora; Felidae. The record is from RNAcentral.
AACUAUUUGGUGCAGACUUGGGUUGUUAAUAGCUAUCCUUUGACUACUUUGUGAUUCCCCUUGAUUUUUAAAAGAAUUUAGUUUCCUAUAUAACAACCAAGUUGGAACAAAGACUACCUAAAGGAAUGACUGGAGGCAGAAAAAGCAAUGUGUUGGAAGUUUGGAAAACAACACAUAGAUCAAGCUUCCAUGUGACAGAUUUCCUAACAGCUGUGAUGUUUGCUAAGGAAAUUCUGCUGGGAGCCCCAGAUACUGAAUUCAAAAUAAAAUCAGUGCAAGAACAUUGCUCACUGCAGAGUGUCUGUGCUGUUGUCAUUACAUAAGUAAGAUGAGCCAUGAACAUAGUUUUAGAGCGUAA